Bifiguratus adelaidae is the source of this 73-nucleotide non-coding RNA. The record is from the annotation of a GenBank genome assembly. Lineage: Eukaryota; Fungi; Mucoromycota; Endogonomycetes; Endogonales.
GGUCUUGUGGCCAAAUUGGAAAGGCAUCUGACUACGAAUCAGGAGAUUGCAGGUUCGAGCCCUGCCAAGAUCA